Molecule: long non-coding RNA, 1039 nt
Organism: Morus notabilis
Lineage: Eukaryota; Viridiplantae; Streptophyta; Magnoliopsida; Rosales; Moraceae
Exons: 2
Source: RefSeq, a predicted model, not a curated record
UCCAAAACCAUUCCUCAUCAUCAUAUGAUCCGCCAUUGGAGGACGAUCCUCCGCUUCAACAUCUUUCCCCAUCCGAUUGCAAGAGGCCGCGCACCGAUUGGACCGAAUUCCUCGAUCCCGAUCACGAAAUCUGUGAGGACAUUGAACAAGGAGGAGUCGAACCAGGUGAGGAAAACUUUUUUUUUUUUUUGGGUGAAAAAUUAGGUUUUUGAAAAUUGGGGGAAAUUGAAAGAGGAAAAAAGGAAUUUCUAAUUGGUAUAGAGAAUUGAGCCGAAUGUGGUUUUGAGCCGGAGAUUGUGACGGAGUUGCCAGAGGGAUUGUACCAGAAAGCGAAGCUGAACAGGAGUGCUGAUGGUGAUGAACUUUACAAACCUGUUUUCUCCAAGAGAAAUUCCAACAAACGAGUGCUUUUUCAAGAGCGUAACAUGACUGUGGAAAUGAAAAUCAAGAAGUCACAGAGAAUGCUAGAACUGAAAGGCGAAAGCUAGUUCUGAUUUCUGGGACUUGAAUUAUCUUUUCAGAAGAUUUUGAAAGUUUGACUUGACAACUGCCAAGGAGAAUUCAAAAUGGGGUCAUUACAAGACUAGAUUAGGAUGCCCAGGAGUCAAGAAAAUGUCAGUUCAGAAGGGGAAGAGAGGCUUCCAAAUGGAGUGCCUACAUAACCCAGGACGACGAAGACUACGACAAGGACGCCAACUACCAAGGGGGUGAUUCGAGCAAUAAUAUCUUCCGGCCUUUAACCAACGACGAAAAGAUAGAAGAUGAGAUCCACCCUGAUUUUCUUUGAACCUCUCGCAGUUAGCUCUUUCAAUUCUUCUGCCCUUGUUUAAAUCAACUAGAACAUAGAGGUUUCCUGAAUUCCACAGUGAUAUGGCAAAAGCGGCAUAGUAGCUGAAUAGAUUUGUUCAUGGUCAAUUGGUCCAUGACAACACUAGCAAUUUUUUAGUUUUAAUUCAAAAUAUUUUGCUUUAAUUUAAAACCGUAUUCUCGGAAAAAAAACAGAACUGGAAUUUGCCGUUGCAGUGCUUGCUUUGGAAUU